UUAAGAUACUAAGAGCAUACGGUGGAUGCCUUGGCGAUAUCUGCCGACGAAGGACGUGACAAGCUGCGAAAAGCUGCGGAGAGAUGCAAAUAAUCGGCGACCCGCAGACAUCCGAAUGGAGAAAUCCGGCUGUGAUGAUGCACAGCCAUCCAUGCCCAAGAGCAUGAGAAGGGAACCGGGCGAACUGAAACAUCUAAGUAACCCGAGGAAAAGAAAUCAAACGAGAUACCCCAAGUAGCGGCGAGCGAACAGGGAAGAAGCCCAAACCGGUGAAGGAAACUUUACCGGGGUUGAGGACCAUCAGACCCGCGAAGAACUUUAGCCGAAACUGUUGGGAAACAGUGCCAAAGACAGUGAAAGCCUGGUAGGCGAAAAAGAGAAACGCGGAGAUGGCACCAGAGUACCGCGGGACACGAGAAAUCCCGUGGGAAACAGGGGGGACCACCCUCCAAGGCAAAACACAGAUAUCGACCGAUAGCGCAUAGUACCAUGAGGGAAAGGUGAAAAGCACCCCGGGAGGGGAAUGAAAGAGAACCUGAAACCGUAUGUUUACAAGCAGUCGGAGACCGCUUAAUAAUAAGGUCGACGGCGUGCCUAUUGAAGAAUGAACCGGCGAGUUACGAAGCCUGGCAAGGUUAAGCAGGAAAUGCGGAGCCGAAGCGAAAGCGAGUCUUAAGAGGGCGCAAGUCAGGAAGCGUAGACCCGAAACCACAGUGAUCUACCCAUGUCCAGGUUGAAACACAGGUAAAAAUGUGUGGAGGACCGAACCUAUAUCCGUUGAAAAGGGUUAGGAUGAGGUGUGGGUAGGGGUGAAAUUCCAAUCGAACGUGGAGAUAGCUGGUUCUCCCCGAAAUAGCUUUAGGGCUAGCCUCAGGGAAAAGAUUGCAGGCGGUAGAGCACUGAUCAGGAGAGGGACCUACCCGGUUACCAAACCCAGUCAAACUCCGAAUGGCUGCAAUCAUACCUGGGAGUCAGACUGCGACUAAUAAGGGCCGUAGUCAAAAGGGAAACAGCCCAGACCAUCAGCUAAGGUCCCCAAUGCCGUGCUAAGUGGCGAAGGAUGUGGCAUUUCAUAAACAACCAGGAUGUUGGCUCAGAAGCAGCCACCAUUUAAAGAGUGCGUAAUAGCUCACUGGUCGAGAGACGCUGCGCCGAAAAUGUCCGGGGCUCAAGCACGGAACCGAAGCUAUGGCAUGAUAGCAAUAUCAUGGGUAGGGGAGCGUUCUUAUAAGGAAGAAGCAUGACCGGAAGGACAUGUGGACGAAUAAGAAGUGAGAAUGCCGGUAUGAGUAUCGAAAAGAAAGGUGAGAAUCCUUUCCACCGAAAGCCCGAGGGUUCCUGAGCAACGAUCGUCGACUCAGGGUAAGUCGGGACCUAAGCCGAGGCGAGAAGCGUAGGCGAUGGACAACAGGUUGAAAUUCCUGUACCGGAUCAAGUCGAUCGAGCGAAGGAGCGACGCAGGAGGGCACAUGAUCGCGCGGCUGGAAGAGCGCGUCCAAGUGCGUAUGUUGCAGCAGAGGAAAACCCCUGCAGCUAAAAGCAGAGACAUGAUGGGGAGUUAAAGGAAACUUUGACGAACUCAUGGAUCCCACACUGCCAAGAAAAACUUCUAGCGAGACAAGAUCCGCCCGUACCGUAAACCGACACAGGUAGGCGGGGAGAGAAUCCUAAGGUGCGCGGGAAAACCCUCGUUAAGGAACUCGGCAAAUUGCAUCCGUAACCUAGGGAGAAGGAUGGCCCCCGGUCAGUGAAGAGCAGAAACGCUCAGAGCUAAAAGGGGCGGCAGAAAAGAGGCCCAAGCAACUGUUUACCAAAAACACAGGUGCCUGCGAAAGCGAAAGCUGAAGUAUAGGUGCUGACGCCUGCCCGGUGCCGGAAGGUUAAGGAGAGGUGUGAGCGAAAGCGAAGCAUCGAACUGAAGCCCCGGUGAACGGCGGCCGUAACUAUAACGGUCCUAAGGUAGCGAAAUUCCUUGUCGGGUAAG
This 1984-nucleotide ribosomal RNA is filed under the name human gut metagenome. RNAcentral's name for it is "bacterial LSU rRNA". It matches the Rfam family "Bacterial large subunit ribosomal RNA", at positions 1 to 1980 of the family's 2925-position model. The record is from RNAcentral.